CUUGAACCCAGAAGGUGGAGGUUGCAGUCAGCUGAGAUCGUGCCAUUGCAUUCCAGCCUGGGUGACAAGAGGGAAACUCCGUCUCAAAAAAUAAAAAGUAAAAUAAAAUAAAAAUAAAAUGGCAUGGGCCAUUUUAUUUAAUACAAUAUCAAAGUAUUCCCAGAUUCCCUUAACUGUACUUCAUGGAAUUACUCCCUCUGAAUUUUCUAAACCAGUGGUGAGCAAUCUUUUCUUUUUCCCUUGGGGACUACUAGCUUACAGGACAAUCAUUUAACAGGAGAUCCUAAGAAUACAGGUCAUACUAAUUCCAUUCAUUUUAUAAGCAUCUGAUAAAGCCAGGAUUACUGAGCAUUUAUGGCUACCAUGCACCGUGUGAAGCAAUUUAUAUACAUUAUUUCUACCAGUCUUUACAACAAUUCUCUGAGAUAUAUUCAAUUACCAACAUCCAUUUAAACAUGAGGAGACUGAGGCACUACAGCGUAAGUAACCUGCCCAAAGCUAGCGAGUGCCAAGAGCGGGUCAGACCCUGGGCUGCCUGGCCCCAAAGCCUGGGCUGUCCUCACUGAUGACUGCCUUCUCUUUCACCAACGGUGAAGCCCACAGUAGGCCCUGGAGUCACGUGGAUGACGAGUCACAUGGAUGCAUAAGAUAAUAUUUCUGCUCCACCACCACCUGGGGCUUAUAUUCCAAUAAAAACAGGUUAAAACUUAUUACAGAGCUAAGAACAGAGUUAUAGUCCAGCAUGGAGGAUGCAGAUAUGAACUAGCCUAGAAGACUGAAGAAAUAUUCCCCAGAGGAGUGACCUUCAAGCCGUGAACAUGAUAAGAGAGUAUUCAAAGCAGAACAGGCGCCAUCCUAAAGCACACUGUUAGAAAAGGGCACGUGCUAGGAAAGGCAAGAAGCUUGACCUGACUGUAAUAGCGGCAAUAGAGGCAGGAAGAGGAAAGGAAGGAAGAGGAGGAGAGUGACAGGAAAAGGUUAGGUUAGGCCCUAGUGGCAAUGCUUAAGAGUCUAAAUAUUAUUUUUCAGGUAAGGACACACAGUGUUUCUGAGCAAAAGCAUUGCAUUAUGAAGCCUGACUUUGGGGGGUUUUUAAAGGAAUACUAACCACGUGGAAGUGUGGUAGAGAGAAAGGCCAGAAGCAGAGACACCUGUUUGGAGUCCAGGACAACAGUGAAAGCAGGUGGAAAGGAAACACCAGACAAGCCUGGGAAACUGGAUGGAUCAUGACAGAGAUCAAGAAUACAAGACAGAAAGGUUUUGAAGUAUCUACAGGAUUCCAGAUUGACAUAUGUGGAAAGCUGUUGGAAGUUUGGGACUGGAGCACAAGAGAAAGGUGGAGACU
RNAcentral lists this long non-coding RNA (1345 nucleotides) under Homo sapiens (human). Its description in RNAcentral is "HSALNT0186565". The record is from RNAcentral. Lineage: Eukaryota; Metazoa; Chordata; Mammalia; Primates; Hominidae.